AUGCACUGGUUUGCCUGGUGGAAGCUUUGUGUUCCAAAAGAGAUAGGAGGAAUGGGGUUCAGAGUUCCUCACCGUUUUAAUUUAGCUAUGUUAGCUAAACAAAUAUGGAGAUUAAUUGAGGCUCCAGACAGCUUAUGCGCAAGAGUUUUGAGAAGUAAGUACUAUCCUGAUGGCAAGAUACUUAAUGCUAAACUUAAAUCGGGUUCAUCUUUUACUUGGCAGAGUAUAUUGUCAGGG
Molecule: ribosomal RNA, 237 nt
Filed under: Triticum aestivum (bread wheat)
Lineage: Eukaryota; Viridiplantae; Streptophyta; Magnoliopsida; Poales; Poaceae
Description: partial small subunit ribosomal RNA
Source: RNAcentral